RNA transcript from Vigna angularis (adzuki bean), 2419 nucleotides. RefSeq lists it as uncharacterized. The transcript is spliced from 2 exons. The record is from RefSeq and is a predicted model, not a curated record. Lineage: Eukaryota; Viridiplantae; Streptophyta; Magnoliopsida; Fabales; Fabaceae.
CUCCUCAAACGAGACUUAGAAAGAGAAGGAUACGAAAAAGUCCUUUUUGCCCUUUGUCUUUCUGCUUUCUUUCGUUGUUUUCCUGUGUUGUUUCUGAAUGGCGAGUUCUUCCAGAACAACAAAAUCUAGCGGACUAGUGCUUCGUUCUUCUCUCUUACCUUCUACCAAAUUCUGUUCUUAUUCAACGUCAAACGCACAGUUUCGUUCGUCUUCGUCUUCGUCAAGUUUCUUUGAAAAUUCUCACUCGCACAUGCCGCACCGUUCGACUUCCCCGACGCGUGUCAACGUAAUCAGCACGGCGCCAUCUCCCUCCGUCCGGUUUGCCCUCGACCGGUCUAUCUCCCCGAGCCGGACCGUGUCGAGCCACGUAAUCGUCAAGAAGAACCACCGCCACGUUACGGUUCAGAAGAAAACGUGCAUGUGUUCCCCUACCAAUCAUCCCGGUUCGUUCCGGUGCAGUCUCCACAAGAACAGUCAACACCACGCAUCGGCUGGUUCGUUCCCCUCAAACCGGCUCAACAUGCGCCGCUCCGCGAUGAAAAACUCGCUCGUCAGAAUCGGAGGCGUCGAAGGUGAGUGGGUGAAACGCGCUCUCACUGCGUUGAUUCGUCCUUCUUCGCACCAACAGAGGAGAAGAUCAGCCUACGAACCGAGACCGAGUCGUCUCUCGAUCAUGUCGAAAUCCGAAGAAGAUCUGUAAAUUUCUUAUCUCUCUCAUUACAGGUUUUGAAUCGCCCUGGGAGAUUCUCCAGUUGCGUUGCUGGAAGAUUUUUGCGUAGAUCUAAGAAGCUGGACUCCAAGAAUUGGUUAUUAAUUCCAGUUAACAAUGGAAUUGACGGAGUUUAUUAUGUUUGCCGUUGCCAUUAAUGUUCCAUCGCGUCUGUGUGAUGAUUUCGUCGUAGCUGCUGUUGCCGUUGACUCCCGUUAUCUUUCGUCCCGUUGUUUUGCGUUUGGUGCCAAGGUAUUUGCUUUAUUUUUAAUUUUUAUUAUUGUUUUCUAUAUUUAUUUAAUUGAAAGUUUGGUUGUGCAGCUGUUUGGUGCAGGGACUUUCAUCGUGGAGCUACAUGGGACAUUUCAAAAAUAUUUAAUGAAAAAUUGGAUAUUUAAAAAUAUAUUUUAAGAAUGAUCUGGAAAGGGGAAACAAGAAAAAGAAAAACUUAACUAUAAAUGUGAGUAAUUAACCAAUAAACAUAUAUUGAUUGAAUGUUACAAUAAUCUUUUGUGAGACAGACAAUGCUAGUUAAGUUGAAUAUUAUUAUCAAAUUACUAAUAUUCGGGUGGUAUUAUUUCCUUCAAAAUAAAACCACACAUUUCACCAUCCUAACUAAUAAUAUUUUGAUUAUAUUUAUUUUAACUUUUAACUGAAAAUCUUAAUAUAUAUUAUUAUAUUAUUAAAGUUUGUCAUAAAGAAUGAGUAUGUUUUUUUAAGAGUGUAAAUUUUAUUUUCCUAUUCUUUAAGUACGCUCCAUUGAUAAUUUCAUGAUUUUAUUGAAUAAACAGUUUUUACUUUUUGCAGGAAGAUUGUUCAGUUCACGUAAAAAGGUACGAUGUUAUUGAAUGGUAGGAAAAAAUAACGUGACAAUUCAAUGAAAAGUACGACAAUAUUAUUAGAUUCUAGAAAACUAAGAAAAUGAGAUGACACGUUACCUGCAAUUUGAAAACUCGUAUAGUAGAUUACGUAUAGAUAUUAAAAUGAACUAUUCUAAUAGGAUUAGUUGGGAGAAAUAAAAUGGGAAAACUAAUUUAGUGAUAAAUAGAAUAUAAAUAAAAAGUUGGAGUAAAAGUUAUUUCUUUUAAAGAUAUUAUUAUUGAAAUUUUUUAUUGCUUUUGGUUUAGUGUUUGGAAUUUAGAUUCAUAUUUUGGACGUAAUAUAAAUUAUUACAUAAAUUGUGAAAUUUUGUUCAAUCGUAAUUCGAUUUUAAACUAUAUGUAUAUUAUGAAUAAUGUUAGGAUUACAAUUUAGAGAAUAUUCUCCAUACACAUAUUGGACCAAACAUAGUUUGCAGUAAUUUGAGAAUUUGACGCUGUGCAAACAUGUGAAAGCUGACCUUCUCAACUUUUGAAUAUGACAGAUGGUACUGAAGAACACAAAGGACUAAAAUGACUAACAACCAAAUUGGGUAAAGAAAAUUAAUCACCUAAUAAAUUGAAAUAUUUUUUCCCUAAAAUGCCUUUUUUAAAUGUUUGCAAAAUUCAAUUAAUUGCUGAAAUAAUUGCAAGAUCUGUUCUCUUUUCUCACAUUUCUUUACAAGUUUGCUAAAAUCAAGUUAUUGCUAGUAUAACCACAAAAUCUUAUCUCUUUUCUUCUUUUUCUGCUCAAAAUUCGAUAAUCUGAAAGUCAGAUGUUGACCUUUUAUCAUGAUACUCCUUUAUGGAAAAAUUGUUCGAAAUUCGGUCCCUCAAGUCAAAUUUUGAGAUA